UAUUAACAGAUGCCCUGCUUCAUGAAUGAGGAUACGGUGUCUAUUUGGAGGCCAAUAACUUGAGAGUUAGAGCUAAACAGGUACCACCAAGGAAGAUAGAAUCCGCAAACGCUAGCCCCAAUACUGCUGUAAGGUUAGGCCUGAGAUCGAUGCCUUAAGAAAGAAGAAAAGAUAGUCCCCCAAGAAAGGCAAUCAAAACGGGGCAAGAACUUUCGGAAAGACCCCACUUUUUUGGAGCAAGUUUCGAUGCUGGAUAAGGUAACGUAGAAAUGGCUUAAAUCAGAACUAGGCUCAUGAAGACCAUAUAUCAUAAUAAGAACAUAAAAGAGUCCAAUGCAGAACAUUUCAGUAUAACAUCGCUUAUAUGAUAGGGGAAGGGUGUGAAUCUCUAACAAUUACUAAUCUACAUCAAAAUCCAUUGUGAAAGGAAUCAGAAUAAGCACCUUCUAAACCGGUUGAAGUCUUCAACACUGUUGGUGUAACAUUGCGUGUUCCCUCCAAAACUACAAGGAGGAAAAGAACAAAAACAUAGAGAAAACAACAUGAGAUACAGCAAUGAUCUAAAAGUUCAAAUGCUUCCCUUACCUAGACUCGGUACGCCAGUAACACAACUUUGGCGAUAUCCAAACCAAUAACACAACGUCAUGAUUAAAUUUCUCACAUGAUAGUAUCAUUACUUAACGAAAAGCCUGCAGUACUGUUCACUUUAACGAAAAAUCACAUUUUUAUUCAUUAGUUUUCCUUUUCUUUAUAGGAUAUAUAAAGUACAUGUCGGUGGAGAAAUUUUAUACGGCGUAUUUGAUGCAUAAUGUGAGAUGCUGAUCCAUUGUGGUCUAAGCUUCUUUUGCACUGCAUCUGAACAUCCGUUGUGGUCUUCUCUCUUUCAUCACCUGCCCAGAACAUUGGGUGGUCCUCAGAGAUCCUCACAUGCACUUCUUCAAACUUCCAUGUAAAUCGGUUAAGGAUAAUACUUAGGUACUCAAUACUGACUACCUCAUAAACUCACUUUUUAAUUUGACUCAAUUAAAAGAUGUCGCAUGCUUUUGUUUUGGAGCCCAAGAAAAAUGUCUUUUUUUUUUAAAUAAUAAAAUAUGUGUUAAAACAUCAUUGAACCAAAAUAAAAAAGCAAGUACCUAAGUAUUAUUCAUUGGGUAAUACCUGUAGUAUUAAUUAAUGUUGCAACUUUCCAGACUCGGAAGAGAAAAUUAUCAAGCUUCUAAACAGCUUUUGUUCCCAAAAAGGCAAAAGAAGAAGAAAUUUCAAGUAAAUUAAUUAUGGAAUAACUUUUGAUUCCUAUCCUUGGAUUUGGAAUCAUCGUAAAGAUACAGGAUGGGGGCUAUGUUGGGACGAGAUUGAACGUAUCAAUAUACAUUUCCUUUCCGUCAACUAAAGUAUGUUCCUUUCCCUCAUACAAAUUAAAUAGCAAUAACGGCAAGACACCUUAAAAGCAAUAACUAGUUUCGUCGAUAAAUAAAUUCAACAAACACGGGGCUGCCAUCAAAUGGAAGAGGAGAAAAGGAUUAUGCACUACAGCAGCUCUCAGAAGAUAUUGUUAGUAGGUGAGGGCAACUUUUCUUUUGCUGCUUCCUUAGCCACUGCAUUUGGCUCUGCAAACAACAUUGUCGCCACUUCUCUCGACUCCAAAGGUAUUACGGGUGAUAAUCUAUUUCGUUUUUGCUACAUUGCACCGAGAAUUCGCAAUAUUGAUAUCAAAAACCGUUUCAGAGUAGGUUCAACGAUCAGAACCAUUUAGUUUUAGAUUUUCUUUACAGGAUUAUCCCUGCAACUGCCAAAUAACGAUCAAAUUGACGAUCUUUUAGUUGUUCGAUUGUCUUCGUUUUCAUUUCAACUUUAUCUUAACGAACCAUGGUGUUUUCCACAUUUUAGAUGAUCAAACAUUUUAUAUAAAAUAUAAACUGUUUCAAUCGUCAACAUGCAUUCUAGGGUAGGCAACAAAAAAGAAACAAUGUCCUUUAACUUAUAUAUUGAUAUUUGUAUGUAUAUAUAUGUAUGUUUAUACCAAUUUCUUGACUAAAAUCCCUUCCAUACUACUUGUAGAGUCGUUUAUGGGGAAGUACCCAGAUGCAGUGAGGACAUUGAAGACGCUAAAGGGAAUGGGAUGUGUAGUAUUGCAUCAAGUGGAUGUGGAUACCAUGAGCCAACACCCUCGGCUAGCUGAUCAACUAUUUGAUCGAAUCGUCUUUAAUUUCCCUCACGCGGGCUUCUUCGGAUGGGAACACCAGAGGUUUCAAAUUGAGUAAGUUUUAAUACAGAGCAAUUCUACAUGAAUCAAAUGUAAAGUGAUGCGUUGGAACGAUGCAUUUUCCAGGUUGCACCAAGAUCUGGUCAAGCGGUUCUUCGCAGCUGCGUCUGAAAUGCUGACGGGAAGAGGAGAAGUUCAUGUGACACACAAGACCGGUAAUCCUUUCAGCAGAUGGAACAUAGUGAAGUUAGCAGAAGAGGUAGGGUUAUAUCUGGUUGAGGAAGCACCUUUCAAGCGAGCGGAUUAUCCAGGUUAUCUCAAUAAGAAAGGAAGUGGGAGAAAAUGCAACCGGACAUUUCGUGUUGGACAGUGUAGUACCUACAAAUUUGCCAAGCUACCACUUCGACUUCUGGUUCUUGAUUCACCUUAUUGAAUUCUUGAACUGAUUUCGUUCUCGCCUCUGUUCUUCAACAUGUAAACUAUUAUCUUAUUGUUUAAACUUUGGUAUGGAGUAACACAGCAACAAGUCAGCAAGUCAAUUCGAUCAUUUGUCUAUGAAAUUUUCAUUUAUCUCGGCAUCUUCCUUCUCGGAAUAUCCACCUAGUUGUUGGAAGACAAUUCUCUGUGUCCACCGUAGAUUCGAAUUGUUCGGCGAGGAAUAGCCUAGUGUCACCUCAAAUGACUGCAUUUCGGAGGCCUUUCUUACACCAAUUAUAUGUUCAAUCUCUUGUGCUCCGCCCUGUCAAAUAGAAAAACACAGAAAAUAAGUUAAUCUAGGAAUGAAUAGCACACAAUUGAAACAAACCAAAUAGGACGGACCAGAAUUUACCUCGUCACCAAUGUGGGAAGAAGCCAUUUUUCGUGAAGUUACUUCCGCUCACGUAUUUGUUGACAUUGCUUCCUCAAUACUCCUAAUUACAACACUAAGACCACUUCGGCUUUCUAAAGCUUUAACCGCAGCUCGGUGUGCAUUUUUAUGCCAUUUUAGCAUAUUGUAAGCUUGUAAAAGGGACCACCUUGCUUGGUUUGACAUCUUCUCAAGAUAACAACGAAAAAAAGGUGUGAAAAUCUUAGUACUUUAAGUUAACGGAAAUCACAGAACUACAAAUUUUCGGUUAUAGAGAGUACCUCGGGAACAGACAGUGGGGGUUCUAGAAGAACACAGAUGCCCCUAAAUAGAUUUUCAUCAUUUUCUCCACCCUCUGCCUCACCAUAAAUAAGAGCUUCAGCAGCAAUGCCUGCGAAAAGCACCAUGCAGUACCUGAACGCAUAAUGUGAAGAAAUUAGCAAAUGCUUGGCAUGUUAUUACUCUUAAGUCCACAAUACAUAAUCAAAAGAUCUAAAAUGCAGAGGCAAACUAGGGAAACCUUGGACAUUUUACAUAAGCUUAAGGAAAAAUAAUCUGUAGUUCACUUCCAACAUAUAUAUUCAAGGAAAGUAGCAACGUCACCCCAAAGAAUUUUUUUGUUUUCGUUCAGGUUUUGGAAACCAAAUGAGCUUAUUCAUGACACCUACUUGCAAUUUCAUUUCAUACCCACCUGUCAAAAGCAGUGCCAUCAAGUCGUCCUUCAGCAAGGUCAUUGGCCAUUUUCUCAUCCCAAAAUUGAGUUCCAGCCUGUAAAAUAGUAGUCGGUAUGAUCUUAACUUUUCAUCCUAACAGCAGUACAUUGCAAUGAAGGACGACAAGUCAUACGCUAUAAUCACUACAUAUCAAUAAUGAAAAAUGUAGUGAUCAUUAUGUCCUUAAACAAGGUCAAAACUCUAUACAUUGCAGCCCAAAAAAAUGUAUUAGAGACUGACUUUGUAAGAAAACCAAGCUAGCACAAAGAAAUCUACUGUCCUCUGAGUUUCAUAAGAUUAUACAAGUACAUAAACCUGGGCGGCACCUACGCUAAUUCAGUAAUUCUACUCAAAUGCAAGUCACAUUAAUAAAAUGUUACACUUAAAUAUUCAAUGACAAGAUAAAAAAUUUGCAAUAGAUACAUGAUUGCUCUGAAAAGACGUCACAUAUGACGUACCGUCAAUCCAGUAUAGUAAAAAAUAUGCAGGAAUCACAUUCAUAUCCUAAAUCCGUUUAGUAGUAACUUCAUAUAGGUUUAGAAACGCGUAAUGAUGGCAAGAUUUCACUGUUGAAAGCACAGCAAACAAAACCAAACCAGAUCUCGUAUAAAGCCAACAGAGGAAAGAAAUUACCUGCCCUUGAAUGCCCAUUUGCAUUGCAACAAUUGGGUCCAAUAUCACCCCACGAAUUGGGCAACCCAUCAGAUAAGCUGCAAUUUAAUACGGGGAACCAGUUAACUGCACAGGGUUUACACUCUUGCGAGGAUGUCACUUUAGUAAAGGUGGUUGAAGAUUUAAGAAAUGGUUCAUGCCCUUGGUCAAAUCCACAGCAUCAUUCAAUUUUGUAGCAUCCAAUACUAAAAUAUGGACCAGGAAAAAGUGUGUUUACCUAUUAACAGAUGCCCUGCUUCAUGAAUGAGGAUACGGCGUCUAUUUGGAGGCCAAUAACUUGAGAGUUGAGCUAAACAGGUACCACCAAGGAAGAUAGAAUCCGCAAACGCAAGCCCCAAUACUGCUGUAAGGUUAGGCCUGAGAUCGAUGCCUUGAGAAAGAAGAAAAGAUAGUCCUCCAAGAAAGGCAAUCAAAAUGGGGCCAGAACUUUCGGAAAGACCCCACUUUUUUGG
This 4887-nucleotide long non-coding RNA is filed under the name Malus domestica (apple). RNAcentral's name for it is "long non-coding RNA (MDOM_LNC005240)". Lineage: Eukaryota; Viridiplantae; Streptophyta; Magnoliopsida; Rosales; Rosaceae. The record is from RNAcentral.